GGACCCGCACAAGCAGUGGAGUAUGUGGUUUAAUUCGAUGCAACGCGAAGAACCUUACCAGGGUUUGACAUCCUGCGAAUCUCUUGGAAACGAGAGAGUGCCUUCGGGAACGCAGUGACAGGUGGUGCAUGGCUGUCGUCAGCUCGUGUCGUGAGAUGUUGGGUUAAGUCCCGCAACGAGCGCAACCCACGUCUUUAGUUGCCAGCAUUCAGUUGGGCACUCUAGAGAGACCGCCGGUGACAAACCGGAGGAAGGUGUGGAUGACGUCAAGUCAUCAUGCCCCUUACGUCCUGGGCUACACACGUACUACAAUGCUACGGACAAAGAGCAGCUAACUCGCGAGAGUACGCAAAUCUCAUAAACCGUGGCUCAGUUCAGAUCGUAGGCUGCAACUCGCCUACGUGAAGGCGGAAUCGCUAGUAAUCGC
RNAcentral lists this ribosomal RNA (427 nucleotides) under uncultured bacterium. RNAcentral describes it as "bacterial SSU rRNA". It matches the Rfam family "Bacterial small subunit ribosomal RNA", at positions 917 to 1345 of the family's 1533-position model. The record is from RNAcentral.